RNAcentral lists this ribosomal RNA (3051 nucleotides) under Nippostrongylus brasiliensis. RNAcentral describes it as "eukaryotic LSU rRNA". The stretch from base 4 to 2444 matches the Rfam family "Eukaryotic large subunit ribosomal RNA". The record is from RNAcentral. Lineage: Eukaryota; Metazoa; Nematoda; Chromadorea; Rhabditida; Heligmosomidae.
UUGCAACCUGAACUCAGGCGUGAUUACCCGCUGAACUUAAGCAUAUCAUUUAGCGGAGGAAAAGAAACUAACAAGGAUUCCCCUAGUAACGGCGAGUGAACGGGGAGAAGCCCAGCGCUGAAUCUUUCGGUGUUACACCGUUAAGAAAUGUAGCGUAUAGGUGUGGUUUUCAGUUUGUGCUACUUAUCCAAAGUCCCUUUGAUAGGGGCCACAUUCCCGAGAGGGUGCGAGACCUGUGCGGAUAGUGGAGCAAGCUGUACGAUCAUACCUUGGAGUCGGGUUGCUUGAAAGUGCAGCCUAAAGUGGGUGAUAAACUUCAUCUAAGGCUAAAUAUAGACGCGAAUUCGAUAGCAAACAAGUACUGUGAAGGAAAGUUGCAAAGAACUUUGAGAGAGAGUUCAAGAGAACGUGAAAUCGCUGGAGUGGAAACGGAGAGAGUUGACGUAGUCCGGUGACUAAGUUUGCCGAAAUCGCUUAAUUGUGAUUAAGGUGAAUGUAUGUUGCCUAUGGCUGCGCUGACAGCACUGGUUGUACGUUCCGAACCGUUUUCGUUGCCCAAUUUUCGAAUUGGUGUCUUGUUUACGGGUAGGUUUGUUAUGACUAGUGUUUUAUCCUGUUUUAUGCAGGGUGUCAGUGUGAAGGUCGACCACCUCUCCGACCCGUCUUGAAACACGGACCGAGGAGUGUAACUUGUACGCGAGUCAAAGGUGGAAAACCCAAGGCGCAAUGAAAGUAAAGGUCGGUUAACCGACUGACAUGGGAUCCGUUUCGUUUUGAAGCGGCGCACCAUGGCCCUGUCUUGUCUGCUUGCAGAUGGGCAGCGGUAGAGCGUACAGGUUGCGACCCGAAAGAUGGUGAACUAUGCCUGAGCAGGACGAAGUCAGAGGAAACUCUGGUGGAAGUCCGUAUCGGUUCUGACGUGCAAAUCGAUCGAUAGACUUGGGUAUAGGGGCGAAAGACUAAUCGAACCAUCUAGUAGCUGGUUCCCUCCGAAGUUUCCCCCAGGAUAGCUGGAGUUCAUUGCGGUUAUAUCCGGUAAAGCGAAUGAUUAGAGGACUUGGGGUCGAAACGACCUCAACCUAUUCUCAAACUUUCAAUGGGUAUGUUGUCUCGGUUUCUUUGUUGAACUGUUGACACGAACGCGAACUCCAAGUGGGCCAUUUUUGGUAAGCAGAACUGGCGCUGUGGGAUGAACCAAACGUUGGGUUAAGGUGCCUAACUUUUCGCUCAUGAGACCCCAUAAAAGGCGUUGGUUGAUAUAGACAGCAGGACGGUGGCCAUGGAAGUCGGUACCCGCUAAGGAGUGUGUAACAACUCACCUGCCGAAUCAACUAGCCCUGAAAAUGGAUGGCGCUUGAGCGAGAGACCUAUACCCAACCGUUGCUGGCUUGUGCGUGCCUGUCGCCUGGCUGCAACGAGUAGGAGGGUCGUGGCGGUUGCGUCGAAGGUUUUGGGCGUAGGCCCAACUGGAGCUUCCGUCAGUGCAGAUCUCGGUGGUAGUAGCAAAUAUUUAAGUUCGAUCCUUGAAGACUGAAGUGGAGAAGGGUUCCACGUGAACAGUAGUUGAAUGUGGGUCAGUCGAUCCUAAGAUACUGGCUUAUGCCUUGUAUCAUCGAGAGGAAAAGUUUCUCUCGGAUAUCAAAAGGGAAUAGGGUUAAUAUUCCCUAACGCAGACACAGAGAUUGUGGCUCUUACGAGUCACUUGCGCGGUAACGCAUUCGAACUUGGUUACGUCGCUCAGAGACCGAGCUAGAGUUCUCUUCUCUAGUUAAGGAACGGACUCCUGGAAUCGGUUCAGCCGUAGAUAGGGACGUUGUUUCCGUAAAGCAUCGCGGUUUCUGUGAUGUCUCGUGUUCUCUGGACGGCCCUUGAAAACCAAGGGAGGCUAUUAAUCUGUGCUGCAUCGUACCGAUAUCCGCAUCAGGUCUCCAAGGUGAACAGCCUCUAGUCGAUAGAAUAAUGUAGGUAAGGGAAGUCGGCAAAUUAGAUCCGUAACUUCGGGAAAAGGAUUGGCUCCAGUGACCGGGUCGGUUGGCUUGUUAACUGAUGCUUGUGCGGUUUCGUCCGUGGCUGGCUGAUACUAACGUUGAUGCUGGACUAGUGACAUGACUGCCUUGUGGACGUUUUCAGGUGUGUGCUUUGUCUUCGGACUUAGUAUCCUGAUCGACCAUCAAAACGGUCGAACUGGAACUGGUACGGACUCGGGGAAUCCGACUGUCUAAUUAAAACAGAGGAGACAGAUGGUCCUUGCGGACGUUUACUGUCUCUGAUUUCUGCCCAGUGCUCUGAAUGUUAAAUCGUAGUAAUUCGAGUAAGCGCGGGUAAACGGCGGGAGUAACUAUGACUCUCUUAAGGUAGCCAAAUGCCUCGUCAGCUAACUACUGACGCGCAUGAAUGGGAGUAGUGAUCGUCCUUCCACGAAGUGCUCGGGCAACGUUGCUAGCACAACGGCAGAAUACGAUCAAGCGAACAUGUCAGUGAAUACUGAUGCGACUUUGGGAAUGAGUCGAGACCAAACUGGUAGUAGACUUUCCACUCUAUUCGAGCUAUACCUCAUUGGAAAAUGAGAGUGCAGCCUCCCAACCGCCCACUUAUGGGCGAAUCCCAAUAUCCAGCAGCCACUCUGGAUUGAACGGGCCAAGCGCUCAAAAUCCACGGCGGAAACGCCAAAGAGGGGAAAUGUGGACUCCACUAGAGCUGAGAGGCUAAGAGCUUUGGCCGAAAGGCACAAAGCCAGCCGGGGAAUUCGUUGGAAAGACCUAACAAUAGAGUGGGAAACCCAACGUAGCCCUUCAGAUCCCUUGAGGACUAUACCAGCCAUGCAAAGGCUUUAAGGGAUUAGCUCCCGAAGGGUGCAAGCCCAACGGCUACCUCAUCGCAGUCCGACGCAAUAGCUGCGCGGGAGAUAGAGGAACAGCCUAGAAGUGAAAUAGCUCCUCAAGAGCAACAGAUCGGCCAUGAGCCUAAUAGGGAACCUGCCAUACGGUUUGCAGAUGAAAGCAGAAGAGGGACGGUCUCAUGGACAGAACCCAAUGCGGAACUCAAAACUGU